RNAcentral lists this ribosomal RNA (782 nucleotides) under uncultured Neocallimastigales. RNAcentral's name for it is "partial large subunit ribosomal RNA". It matches the Rfam family "Eukaryotic large subunit ribosomal RNA", at positions 23 to 638 of the family's 3401-position model. The record is from RNAcentral. Lineage: Eukaryota; Fungi; Neocallimastigomycota; Neocallimastigomycetes; Neocallimastigales.
GAGACUCUGUGCGCGUGCAUAUCAAUAAGCGGAGGAAAGGAAACUAACAAGGAUUCCCUUAGUAACGGCGAGUGAAGCGGGAAGAGCUCAAAUUUGAAAUCUUCAAGGUUCUACCUUGACGAAUUGUAGUUUAUAGAAGUGUUUUCUGUUAGUGGAGUGGCAAAAGUUCUUUGGAAUAGGACAUCAUAGAGGGUGAGAAUCCCGUAUUUGACCGUUACUUUCCAGCUGUGUGAUACACUUUCAAAGAGUCGGAUUGUUUGGGAAUGCAGUCCAAGAUGGGUGGUAAAUUUCAUCUAAAGCUAAAUAUUGGCGAGAGACCGAUAGCGAACAAGUACCGUGAGGGAAAGAUGAAAAGAACUUUGAAAAGAGAGUUAAACAGUACGUGAAAUUGUCAAAAGGGAAGCGUUUGACACCAGUGUUGUUUAGUUGAAAAUCAAUUCAAUAAUUUUUCGAUUUUAAGUAGUAUUGACCUUCAUCAGCUUGCUGCUUUCUUUCUCAGGAAUUAUUGAAUGCACUUUUCAGUUAACAAGUCAACAUCAAUUUCUUUUGUUGUAAAAAGGGUAAGAGGAAGGUGGCUUACGCUUCCGGCGUCAAGUGUUUAUAGCCUUUUACCCUCUGCAAUCGGAGAGAUUGAGGUAGCAGCGUAGACUCCUUCGGGGUUAGGUACACUUGUGCUAAGCUAUAGCCUUGUAUAGACAACUUGUUGACUAUGCUCAGUCAUGUAGCUUACUCGCUUGUGCUAUUUUACCUACGCUUAGGAUGUUGACAGCAGUAUAGACUGU